CAAGAGACAUAUACAAUAUAUAUUUGAAAAUUUAAGAUUUAUUUAUAGCAAUCAAGCAAUGGCAAAUUUUGCACCGAGGUCCAUUCUGGUGGCACUUUUCCUCCUCGCGAUAGUUCUCUCCCCAGCAAUGCCAUGUGAGGCAACUCGACUGCCUCAGCGAGGUUCAUAAAUAAUUCUAUAAAUGCAUUUAUUACAUAUAAUUAAUUAGUCAAUCAAUUCAUU
This 222-nucleotide long non-coding RNA is filed under the name Panax ginseng (ginseng). Its description in RNAcentral is "long non-coding RNA (PGIN_LNC000437)". Lineage: Eukaryota; Viridiplantae; Streptophyta; Magnoliopsida; Apiales; Araliaceae. The record is from RNAcentral.